RNAcentral lists this non-coding RNA (187 nucleotides) under human gut metagenome. The record is from RNAcentral.
GGCUCUCCAAGCGGAGAUUAAAAGGGAAUCAGGUGAAAAUCCUGAACAGUCCCGCUGCUGUAAGUUUCCUGAAAUAGUAUCGUUUCACACAAUAUGCCACUGGUAAAUUUCGCUCUCUUUUAGCGACUACAUCACCACCGGGAAGGCGUGAGACGAUGGAAACAAAGUCAGAAUACCUACCUCUACA